RNAcentral lists this long non-coding RNA (6557 nucleotides) under Canis lupus familiaris (dog). RNAcentral describes it as "lncRNA (ENSCAFG00845004062.1)". The record is from RNAcentral. Lineage: Eukaryota; Metazoa; Chordata; Mammalia; Carnivora; Canidae.
UUUUUUUUUGUUUGUUUGUUUUUUUCUAGAAGAGCCUAGGAAACUGGUUUAACCAAAAGCAGAACUGUGAGACACUUAUUUUGAGGAAGAAAUUAAUCAGGGGACAAGAGACUAUUUCAACAGAGAGACUGAAAUGUAAUCUUAAAGUCCUUCAAAGCCCAAAAAGCUUUGGAACACCCUCUUGGAACUCCUCCUCCUUGGAACUUCUCCUUCACAGAAUUGUCAUAGGUAUUUGUGAGUAAUGCACUUACCACACUCUACUUUGUUUUAUCAUUAUUUACUUAUCUGGGUUUAUUAGAUUCCAAUCUUGUGAAGGGAAGAUAAUACAUUCUCAUUUAUGUAUUUUCUCCCAUAUUGCCUAACAUACAAUUUCACCCAUGGUGUUUGUUCCAUAUACUGUUACAAAACUGAAUUGAAGUGUGAACUAUAUUGCUCAAACUUCAUAGAAAAAAUGUGUAAAGGCAGGCAUUUAAAAAGGCAAUGAAAGUGCAAACAGAUUUGGCAGCUCAAGAAUGAGUAUUCAUUCAAGAAAAGGGAAAUUUAUUUCUUUUCAGGUUAGACAAAUAUUUUAAUACUUAGAACUGCUUUAUACAAUAUGAUUGCUUCCUUUCAUGCAUGUAGUCACUCAUCUCACCUCUCAGGAAGAAGUACAGCAGGGCAGGUAGAAAUGGACUCGGGUUUCAAUUGUUUGAGUUUCAGCCUGAUGUCCACAACUACUGACUACUUGAUCUCUGGUAAGUGAUAUCACCAAACCUCAGCUUCCUACUGGGUAAAAUAGAAACAAUACCUAAAAUAAUACCUACUUCAUAGAGUUCUUAUGUAAGAUAAAUUAGAUAAUCCAUGCAAUGUUCUAAAUAAAUUUAGGCAUCAAUUUUAUUUGAACCUGUUCUAUUUAUAGCACUGUGCUAUUCACCGCAUGAAGUUUAAGACAUUAAGGCAUGAUCUCCUACUCAUAGGAGUUUGCAAUAUAACAAGGACCAAGACACAAAUGAAAAAUUUAUUGCAUAUGACUAAUUGCCAUAUUAAUUCAGUGGUUGCUAAGAGUUGAUAUACUUGAAUAAGGGAAGAGAAAGCAUAUGUUUACUGGGCCUUAUUAGUAUCAGAUGUUGUCCAGAAAACCAGACCUUUCUUUAGCGGUUGGAUUACUCCUGGACCCUGAGAAACAUAGAAUUUAAAAUUCUGACACUUUGACUGAAUUGGGUGAAUUAUGUGAGGGAAAAACAAUGGUUUUACAAAAAAGCAGGAAAUACUGUAAAAAUAAAUCAUUAGCUGCCUUAAAUUAGAAAUUUAAUCACUCGGUUAAUAUAAGUUAAAGAAUAACAAUAUUACUAAAAAUAACUAACAUUUAUUGAGUUCUUUCCAUAUGCCAGGGAAGCUAAGUGCUUUUCAUAUGCAUUCUCUCAUUUAUUCCUUAUAAUAGUGCUAUGAAAUAGGUGCUAUUCUUAUUCUCAUUUUCCAAAUGAUAAAAAGGAAAUUUGAAGUAAGCAAUUCACCCAAAGGUGCCAAGAUAGUGUGACUACCUACUAAGAAUCCAGUAAGAACAACACAAAUAGUUAUGAAUAGUUAUGAAGAAAGUUGGGGCAUAGUUUUCUAAUUUAUCCCGUUGACUCCCCAUAGAUAAAGCAAGAAGCUACUAGGUUCACUGUUUCCUCCUACCCAACGCUGAAGGAAAUCUUUACAGAGCAACGUUGUUCCCAUUCUGACCACUGACUUGAAAAGAACAAAAAGCAAAGAGGAAUGGCUUUCAAAAUGUAAGAUAGAGGUGAUAUGUUCCACUAAAUAUUAGCAUGAUCUGAGGUACAUUUGGAUAUCAGGAGCAACACUUACCAUUUAGGUGGCCAAAAGACCUCUCAAGAACACAGACAAACCCAGUCAUGAUAAAACAUCAGAGGUUUCAUUAACUUAGCUUAAAUAACACUGGUGUUUUCAAAAGGAGGAGCAGGUAAGUGAGGCUAAGCAAAACCCCUACACCUCUACAUCUUCUUAAAUGAAAACCUUUAAAUGAGCUCUAAUCCAUGCCAAUAUACCAAAAUAAAUUGACUUGCAUCUAAAUCUUCAGGUAAUAUAUGCAUUCUCUGUGCCUUAAGAAAACAUUAAUUAUGUCCAUGCGGUUCUAGAGUUCUUGGUGCAUGCCUGACUUAUUUAUUUUAUAGCACUUCUCACUUCUAAGUUAGCAGGUCAAAUUUAUGAGGCCAUUCAAUUGCUUUUUCCCCAGGAUGUGGUACCUCAAAGGGUUUUACUCUAAGUUUCUAAAGGCUUGAGCAUCUACUAUUAGCUUAGAAUGAUUAAAAUAGACAGUAAGCUGUGUCAUUUUAUCUUAGACAACCAUACCAUUGCAAAGAAUAAAUGUUUACUUGUCAUUAAUAUCAGAGACAACAAACCAAUAAUUUGUGUAUCCUUUGUUUCUGUCUCUGUCUCUGUCUCUCUGUCUCUCUCUCUCUUUCUCUCUCUCACACACACACACACACAUUUCUAAGAAUGCACAUCUCUCUCAUGAGUUGAUUUCAAAUUAUAUUACUUCCUAAAAAAAAUACUUCAUUCUUUUUUUUUUAAGAUUUUAUUUAUUUAUUCAUGAGAGACAGAGAGAAAGAAGCAGAAACAGGCAGACGGAGAAGCAGGCUCCAUGAAGGGAGCCUGCCGCGGGACUCAAUCCCAGGACCCCAGGAUCACGACCUGAGCUGAAGGCGGCACUAAAUCGCUGAGCCACCCAGGCUGCCCAAAGUAUUUCAUUCUUAAAUGCAAUGAAAGACCUACGUAAGAAUAUUCCUUAGUAGUUCCUUAUGCAGCCCUUUGGAGCUUCAGAAAGCAUGCUUAUGCAUUCUGUCUCGUUUUGCUGAAAAGAAACUAAAGCCCAAAGAAGUUGUGUGGCCAGUAUUUGAGAACACCUGUCACAGGUAGAACUCUAAGCUACUGCUAGCCCUGAUGGGCCUCCAAUCAUCUGACUUCACCAUUGGCUGCAAAUCCAUAGGCCACAGACCUCAUCUGACUUACAGAUGUGUUUUACAGGGUCCACACAUAAUUUUUAAAAAUUGAAUUCCUUGACAAUACUUAAAAAAAAUUCUUUUGUAGCAUAAAUAAAAUCCUUAUCUCCAGUUUGCUCUAAAAUCAGAAGAUCUGACACCACCAGGCCAGUAUAUCUAAGAGAAUAAUGGGUAGGGGCGCUCAUUGUGCCCCUGUAUUCUCUGCCUUGUUUUUGACUUUGACUUUGCCCAUUUAAUUUGUGCAGCCUCCUUGAGGCAUCUGAAUUUAGACACUGCACCAAUCAUGUAAUACAGCGAAGACUCCCAGUCCAUGGAGAAGUGUCCCCAAUGUCCUUUCAGAGAGAGAACGGAAGGCAGAACUGAAAUGUUAGAAUCAGAGUUUUAGGACUUCAAUAGACUUUUACUCAAUCUCGAUGUUUACCAUCAGGUGUUGCAGGGCUUGGGGACAAUCUUAAAAAGUCAAUUCCUUGAGGUUUACCAAUAUUAAAAUCUAAUUAACAAUGCACUAAAUUGGCUUUUUCUAAUACAAAAUCAUCUCUUUAAAAAUCUUGAUUCUAAUACUCUACAUAUUACAUCUUCCUUCAAGAUGCUCUUCUUUUAUUUAUUUAUUUUUUGACGUGGCAAUAAUUAUUUCAAGUCGCAGUAAUUAACAUUAGUUAUAGUUGCUGCUAAUCAAAUAUUUCAGUGAUAUAUGCUUUAAAGUAACACAUGAGUUUGUCUGAUAAGCUUGGGAAAAUUUAUUUACUAUGAAUAUAGUUUUGGUAUUAAAAGUAUUUCCAAACCUGAGUCUCCCGGGAGAUUAAAGAAAAGAAAUCUUUGGUGAAAAGAUUGGGAAACAUCAAUUUUUUAAUACUUCAUUUAUGGAAAACAGAAGAGAAAGCUGUGGCCUAAACAAAUUAAAAGACUUCAAUAAGAUUGCACAAUGGCCAAAGCUUAGAACUAAAAUUCUAUGCUAUAUGUUUGCUCCAGGAUACAUGAUCUGCCCAAAUUAUCUUUUUUUUUUUUUUUUAAGAUUUAUUUAUUCACCUUAGAGACAGAAAGAGACAAAGAGAAAGAGAUAGAACAUGGGGAAGGGCAGAGGGAGAUGGAGAGAGAGAAUCCCAAGCAGAUUCCCUGCCACACUUAAAGCCCUACACCAGGCUCGAUCCCACAACCCUGAGAUCAUAACCUGAACUAAUAUCAAGAAUCAGACAUUUAACCAACUGAACCACCCAGGUGCCCCUGCCCAAAUUAUUUUUCAUCAGAUUUGGGAUAUGCCAGUUCUCUCUAGUGUAGAUUAAUACAUUCACUCCCUAAGCAUUUUAUCAGAUACUGUGGCAGCCUUUAGGGGAUCGGAAACUAAUAGCUUAGAGUCCCUCUCUUCAUGUGACCUUUUCUAGUGAUGAAAGCAAACAGAGAAAUAAUAAAAUAAGGUAUCAUAGCUACCAUGACAAAAGGGGACAAGAGGAGAAAAAGAGAACACAAAGGCAGAAACAUUUUUGAACCUGUCAGGAAUGAUCAUGAGUUCAGUUUUAAGGGGAUAAAGUUUCAGGACACUAAAAUCUAAGCAAGGCAGCUAGGUAUCUGAGUAACGAUGGUAGGCAGAACUCUUUUCCCCUCACUUUUAUAUACUGGUGUCAUGUCAACAAAUACAUUCCAUGGCAAAAGGGAUCUUGAAGAUGUAAGUAAGGGUACUAAUUAUCUGACCUUAAAAUAGGUAAAUUAUCUUGGAUUAUCUAGGUAGGUCUGGUCCAAUAUAAUCAUGAAUCUUUAAAAGCAGAACUUUCUUCUGGCUAAGAGAGUAAAAAAAGUCAAAGGAAUGGCAAAAAUAGAAGCUAGAAAAGUUCCAAGAGUCACCAUCACUGGCUUGAGAUGAAGUGGGCCCCACAUCAAGGAAAUGGGAACUUCAUUCCUACAACCACCUGAACUAAAAUCCCCUAAAUUUCCCUGAUCCCCUUGGAUCAGCUUGGAAGGAGAUUCUUCCCCAGAGCUCCAGAGAGGAAUGCAGCCUUGCUGACACUUUGAUUUCAGCCUCAUGAGACUUUAAACACAGGACCCAACUUAGACUGUGCCAAGAUCCCUGACCCAUGGACACAGUGAGAUAAAAAAAUAAGCAUUCCUUUAAUUCACUAAAUUGGUACUAAAUUGUUAAGUAGUAUUAGAAUACUAAUAUGGCAUUUUAAGAAGUUUGGGGGAUAACAGAAAGGAAAAAAAAAUCUUCCUUAUUCUCUCUUGCACCUGACAAUUCAAAAAGAGAGUUAUCUAUAUGUAACUCUGAUGUGUUGGUUGAAGAUAACCAUUUAUUUAAAGUGGGGAUAGAAGUUAGAGGAAAAACUGGUAUCGAAAAGAAAACAAACACACUUAGUGGAAAGAUCCUCUAUGUACUGGGCAUUCCCAAAGAGCUUUACAUUAUUAUUUAAUCAUCAUGCCAAAGUAGUAGAACAGACACAUUAUUCCUCCCAUUUUACACAUGAGAAGACUGGGGCUGAUAGGUAUGAGUGAUAAGUCAAAGACCAACAGCUAAUCAGUGGGCAAGUCAGAGUAGGCUUUCUGAUAACUCAGGUCUUCCUGAUGAAGAAGCUUCUGUGGUUUAUUUGUAAUUCAUACAUGAGGUAUGCUGUUGUUCAGAUCAUAGUUGUCUGCAUUUAUGUGUACACAGCAAAAGUGGUCACUUUAAAGGCCUUGCUUGAAACAAUAAUCCUUGAGCUUUUGAAGAAAGCUUUUGGCAAAUAGGACUCUAAUCUGCAGGAGACGUAGCUCUCCCUGAGUAAUUAUUCCAUUUUCUCUGCAGUGAUGUCCUUAGACAAGGACACCAGGCUUCCCUGGCCCUGGCAUCACAGUAAAUUUGACCACUGCAGCAUAUGGUGCCUGAUGCUAGAAAUGUGGCCCCUCUGGAGUCCAGAAUUCAGAUUAGCAAUCCUAAAUGGGAUUCCACUGAGGAUGUCUAUGCAUUUCUAAUUUUGGUGUCGAGGGGCAAGAAUCUUCUGGCAUCUGCUCCAGGAAAUGUGUGUGUGCACUUCAUCUGGAAAGCUAAAGGGAUUUUCUCAUACUCCGGUCCAUCCUGCUCCACUGUGGUUUGCCCACAUUAAUCUUCUCACUGAUUUAUCUCUUCUCGUUCUGAACAGCUUGGAUGCUAUUGCUUCAAUUAUUUUCUUUGGGAAAUUAUUCUGUUGUCUAAUUGACCUACUAUUAAUUUUAUUUUCUAUUAUCUAAUUUAUUUCACCCCCUUCUUUCCCUCCACCCCCAAGCUUCAGGCCAUUACUUCUUAUUUCUUUCAGUUCCAUUCAAUUGCCAUUUUUUUUCUUUCUCAGGCACUAUAAUCUCUAACAUUGGCAAAUACUUACAGAGAACAUAACAUCCACAGUGAAGACAAUGAGAGGCAAAAACUUCACACUAUCUCCUCACUUCUUUCAUUGUGAAUAUUAACCUCACCUCAUUAUUAUUUAAAAAUGGCAAAUUUUCAUUUCCUGGAUUUUAUAACUCCUCGCAUUUUUAUAGCUCUCAAAUUAUCUCUCCUCUUUUUUUCCCACCCUUGCUCCUUUUUUAACUUUCCAUCCCUCUUUCUUCUCUUUUUUCUUUAUCAUUCUUUCUGGUCUU